AGUGAACGCUGGCGGUAGGCCUAACACAUGCAAGUCGAACGGCAGCACAGUAAGAGCUUGCUCUUACGGGUGGCGAGUGGCGGACGGGUGAGGAAUACAUCGGAAUCUACUUUUUCGUGGGGGAUAACGUAGGGAAACUUACGCUAAUACCGCAUACGACCUACGGGUGAAAGCAUGGGAUCUUCGGACCUUGCGCGAUUGAAUGAGCCGAUGUCGGAUUAGCUAGUUGGCGGGGUAAAGGCCCACCAAGGCGACGAUCCGUAGCUGGUCUGAGAGGAUGAUCAGCCACACUGGAACUGAGACACGGUCCAGACUCCUACGGGAGGCAGCAGUGGGGAAUAUUGGACAAUGGGCGCAAGCCUGAUCCAGCCAUACCGCGUGGGUGAAGAAGGCCUUCGGGUUGUAAAGCCCUUUUGUUGGGAAAGAAAAGCAGCAGGUUAAUACCCCGCUGUUCUGACGGUACCCAAAGAAUAAGCACCGGCUGACUUCGUG
Molecule: ribosomal RNA, 492 nt
Filed under: uncultured bacterium
Lineage: Bacteria
Description: partial 16S ribosomal RNA
Rfam family: Bacterial small subunit ribosomal RNA
Source: RNAcentral